UGUGGGUUGGUCAAAAUCUAUCAGAUCUGUUCAAGUGGAGAUAUGCUUUUGUUUUUUUCGUCUGUCCAGCUUUCCUUCCUUACGGAAUCUCCCAGCCCCUAAUUCUAUAAUACUACUCGCUUAGUUUGGCUGUGGUGAAACCCACCUUGUCCUCUACUAAAGAUAUGGAACGAAGACCUCGUCAGUCAAUCUUCCAUGAUCCCGGCCACCGCAAUUGGCUCAGGUCGUUGCUGCCAUGAAGUAAGAGUCUGUCUGGAAAUGAAGGCGAGCAGAGGCCACAAAGCUGAGACAUGGAGACAGAGAGAGUCCUGAUGUUAUUAUUUGAACCAUUGAGUCCAGCUGUGCCUGAAACUCUUCAGUGAGCCAAGAAAUUCCUUUUUGGCUUAAGCCAAUUGGAGUCGUGUUUGUGAUACUUGCAAAUGAAAGGAGUUAUUGACUAAUAAAACUGCCAUUUCUAUCUCUCCAAGAA
Homo sapiens (human) is the source of this 469-nucleotide long non-coding RNA. RefSeq lists it as uncharacterized. NCBI's taxonomy places the organism in Eukaryota, Metazoa, Chordata, Mammalia, Primates, Hominidae. The transcript is spliced from 2 exons. The record is from RefSeq and is a predicted model, not a curated record.